GACGAACGCUGGCGGCGUGCCUAAUACAUGCAAGUAGAACGCACAGUUUAUACCGUAGCUUGCUACACCAUAGACUGUGAGUUGCGAACGGGUGAGUAACGCGUAGGUAACCUGCCUGGUAGCGGGGGAUAACUAUUGGAAACGAUAGCUAAUACCGCAUAAUAUUGAUUAUUGCAUGAUAAUUAAUUGAAAGGUGCAAUUGCACCACUACCAGAUGGACCUGCGUUGUAUUAGCUAGUAGGUGAGGUAACGGCUCACCUAGGCGACGAUACAUAGCCGACCUGAGAGGGUGAGCGGCCACACUGGGACUGAGACACGGCCCAGACUCCUACGGGAGGCAGCAGUAGGGAAUCUUCGGCAAUGGAAGAAAGUCGGACCGAGCAACGCCGCGUGAGUGAAGAAGGUUUUCGGAUCGUAAAGCUCUGUUGUAAGAGAAGAACGGGUGUGAGAGUGGAAAGUUCACACUGUGACGGUAUCUUACCAGAAAGGGACGGCUAACUACGUG
Molecule: ribosomal RNA, 505 nt
Filed under: uncultured bacterium
Lineage: Bacteria
Description: partial 16S ribosomal RNA
Rfam family: Bacterial small subunit ribosomal RNA
Source: RNAcentral